AAAGAGUGUUCUGUGCAACACCAGCUCCAGGAGGCACUUGGCAGAAACUGGGUUUCAUUGUCAGGUGUAGACAACUUCGCAUGGCAGAAGUUGGAAUGCCACACGGGAGAGGCCGGGUCCCCUCAUCUGCCUGUCAGCACCUCUUCAUUAUGGCUGGGCUAAUUCGAAAUGAGCGGACGCCUUGCCCCCCACCUCCCUACCCCGGGGGGCUCUUCUUACCCAGCAGAUGUUCAUCUGCGUGCCCACAGCAGGUGAUAAGAGCCUGUGACUUCCCCGGUGUGCCCGGUGGGGAAGCUCCCGUCGGUGAGCCAGGAGCUGUCGUGGGCAGGGAGGAGCAGGCCGGGCAUCGUGCCCAUGAGGAGCCCGAAACACAAAAUGGACAAGACGCCAUGAGGCCAAAGGGCGCCAGGACGAUGGAGGAGUGUUCGCUUCCUCACCCAGUUCCAGGGUGCAGAGUGGGUUUCCAGGACUCUUACGACAGGUUACCAGCGAACUCCAUCAUUAUCAACAUUCACUCUCCUGAUGGUUUUUUUUUUUUUAACUUUAAUUCUUAGAAUCAUGCACAGCAGAUAAACUGCCAACACUUGC
Molecule: long non-coding RNA, 588 nt
Organism: Lemur catta (Ring-tailed lemur)
Lineage: Eukaryota; Metazoa; Chordata; Mammalia; Primates; Lemuridae
Exons: 2
Source: RefSeq, a predicted model, not a curated record